Molecule: ribosomal RNA, 417 nt
Filed under: Terribacillus saccharophilus
Lineage: Bacteria; Bacillati; Bacillota; Bacilli; Caryophanales; Bacillaceae
Description: bacterial LSU rRNA
Rfam family: Bacterial large subunit ribosomal RNA
Source: RNAcentral
GCACUGAUUGGACUAGGGGCCCUCAUCGGGUUACCGAAUUCAGUCAAACUCCGAAUGCCAAUCAAUCUACUUUGGGAGUCAGACCAUGGGUGAUAAGGUUCAUGGUCGAAAGGGAAACAGCCCAGACCGCCAGCUAAGGUCCCAAAGUGUGUGUUAAGUGGAAAAGGAUGUGGCGUUGCUUAGACAACCAGGAUGUUGGCUUAGAAGCAGCCAUCAUUGAAAGAGUGCGUAAUAGCUCACUGGUCGAGUGACGCUGCGCCGAAAAUAUACCGGGGCUAAACACACCACCGAAGCUGCGGAUUGACAUCUACGAUGUCAGUGGUAGGAGAGCGUUCUAAGGGCAGUGAAGGUCGAUCGUGAGGACGGCUGGAGCGCUUAGAAGUGAACUGCCGGUAUGAGUAGCGAAAAAAGAGUGAG